AUCGACCUAGCCAGAAGUUCUCGCACCCCCACCGUUCACUUUUUUUUACGGGAUCCACCGCUCACCCCUUCGCACUCGUAAACUUUUCUCCGCCUCGAUGUAAUUUCUGGUUUAGCAUGUGCGCGGACGGUUAUUAUUUUUAGUCGUGGGUUUAAGAGCUGGAACCCGGCCUCUGAAAGGGUCCAUGGAGGGCGGAAGCGGUGGCAGAUCUCGGCGGUGAGCGGCCGGAAGUUCUGGGUGGCUCGCAGCGCAGAGGCGAGCGGAUGGUAGCGUCGCGUAGCCUCUGGGCUUUGUGCGGUGUGGUGAGGACGAGCCCUUGUGUCCGUGCGGCGGGCGACCUCGUGCCCUCGUCGGCCGACAGCAUCCAGCGAUGGUAUGCUCGCCCCCUCCUCCAUGUAGUCCAGCCAUGAGGAACGACUCCCCGUCUCCACCUGCUCCACAAGGCCACAAGUCUACGACUAUCCUCCUAACCUUGUUCAAUCAUCAAACGUAGAAGCCACACGGCCACACGGAGUGAUGAACAUUACGGAACUACUUCCAGUAUGGUCAACAAUAUGCAUAUACGAGGGAGUCCAGGUUCUACAAGAGAUACAAUGCUCUUCAUUCAAAUUGAUGGAGAACAACAGCACAAAAGCAUCUCACCCUUCCAGGCGGAAGCGCGCUAGCUCUUCAGGUAGCCGCUCGAAUCGCCACCACCAUUACAAGUGGCCAGAUCAUUCUUCCUGACAUAUAACCAGACUCUAGCACAUGCAAUAGCUUCCAAUGAUCUUCGCCAUAUUCCUGGACAAUGGGAAAUAAGGAGUCAUUUUUAAGAUUUCCUUUCUGCGACGAGCCAUACUCAAACAUAGGUUAUUUACAUUCCUAGAAAGUUCAAUGUCAGGGAACAUAAUUGCCCAGGACAGCCUCAUCUCUCAGAUUCUAAUGAUAGCUCAAAGUUGGCUCGU
This is a long non-coding RNA of Triticum aestivum (bread wheat), 944 nucleotides long. RefSeq lists it as uncharacterized. NCBI's taxonomy places the organism in Eukaryota, Viridiplantae, Streptophyta, Magnoliopsida, Poales, Poaceae. The record is from RefSeq and is a predicted model, not a curated record. The transcript is spliced from 2 exons.